RNAcentral lists this ribosomal RNA (183 nucleotides) under uncultured bacterium. Its description in RNAcentral is "partial 16S ribosomal RNA". It matches the Rfam family "Bacterial small subunit ribosomal RNA", at positions 1319 to 1500 of the family's 1533-position model. The record is from RNAcentral.
CACGAAGUUGGAUUCGCUAGUAAUCNCGCAUCAGCCAUGGCGCGGUGAAUACGUUCCCGGGCCUUGUACACACCGCCCGUCAAACCAUGAGAGCUGGAAACACCCGAAGCUGGUAGCCUAACCGUAAGGAGGGCGCCAUUGAAGGUGGGGCUAGUGAUUAGGGUUAAGUCGUAACAAGGUAAC